This 1019-nucleotide long non-coding RNA is filed under the name Sus scrofa (pig). RNAcentral describes it as "lncRNA (ENSSSCG00030022070.1)". Lineage: Eukaryota; Metazoa; Chordata; Mammalia; Artiodactyla; Suidae. The record is from RNAcentral.
CUUAUCUACCGAAUAUUUCCUCUGGAGCUCGUUCAUUGAAUAAGUUUCUCUGGCCUGGGAAGGGACUUGUGUUGUGCAGAACAGGAAAAGAGGAACUUGACUAAACUCACUAGAUGGUAAACUACGCAAAAGACUGGAUUGUGUAUUUUUCUUUUUUUUUCCCAUAGUGCAUUGGACAAUGCAGCACAUGGCAGGAGCCCAGUGAAUGAUUAUUGCUCAGAGAAUCAUAGAAGAUCAGAGCCGUGAGGAGACUUAGAAAAGACCCUGGUUCUGGGGUCAGCCGGCAUUCAAAUUCUAAACUCCGCCAUGUACUCGUUGUGUGACCUCGGUCUCAGUUCCUCAUGUGCAAAAUGGGGUAGUAAUAAUAAUAGCUAUAGCACAGGAUUGUUGUGGGUGUUAAAUGGGUCUUCGGAGAACAUCCAUCUGAAUGUCCGUGACACAGGCAAUUCAUCUCUUCUGGUGGCUUCCUGUGAUUCUCUCAGCCCCCAGGAGCCUGGUAGUUCACUUUUCUCAUUUUCAAUGCAUUAUUCUUAAGAUGAGUGUGGAGCUAAGGGCUGCAAAACCAGUGUUUGACCACCUCAUUUGUAGGUUCUAGGCGAGGAAUGUAACAUCUUAUUUUGGAAUGGAAUAUUUUCUACUUAUUUUGCUUCUGGCCUUCGGGGGCAUCCGCUGGCGGGGGUGGGGGGAACUGAAGAAAGAAUUAGAAGGAAUUUCAUUUAAAAAAAAAAUGACUUGUCUUAGAGCAGCAAGAUUGAGGGGACAGUACAGAGAUUUCCCAUAUGCCCCUACCUCAACUCAUGCAUAACCCACACCACAUGAUUGACAUGAACCCACCCCUAAACUGGUACAUUAUUAUGAUGGAUAAACUAUACUGACACAUGAAAAUCACUCAAAGUCCAUAGUUUACAUUAGAGUCCACUCUUGGUAUUGUAUAUUCCAUGAGUUUGGACAAAUGUAUAAUGGCAAAUAUCCAUCAUCAUAGUAUCAUACAGAGUAAUUCCCCUGCCCUAAAAACCCUC